UUAAUUAUAAAUAUAUGGAAAAUAAUUGUUGGAUAAAGUGUUUUAUUUAUAGGGCACUGAAAACAUUUUUUCUCUUAGGUUUAACCUUUAAUGUGUCUGUGAGACUCUCUUCACAUGUGGGCAGGUCUUCCCUGUAGAACUAGGGAGGUGAUUCUUAAUAAAAUCAUUCUUCAGCCUUCAGUGAGCCCUUACAUCAGGACUGACCAAUCUUCCUGAUGUUGUCGCCUGCAUACCAAAAACCUCUCGUGAAGGUGUUCUCAGGGAAGAGAAGGCAGUAGCACUGCUGCAGCACCAGGACCGAGUGCGAGCAUGCUGCAGGCCCCAGAGGGAUUCAGUGGUGUCAGCCUCAGCUCUCCUGACACAUUUCCUUUUGCAGGUGAGGACUCACAGUCAGGCUGCAGGUUAUGUUGACAUAGUCCUAGCAUCAGACCUAUAUUUUGGCUGUUGUAAGUCAUAUGUAGUCCAAAACCAUCAUCCACACCUGCACUUAAUCACUACAGCAACCCCUUGGGUCAGCUGGCAAAGGUCUCCAGAGGCAGAGCAUGUAGGCUGAAAAACAUCAUCCGAGUGCAGCAAAGAUUGUCUGUGGUAUUCAUAUGCAGCUCUUUAACUCUCAUUACUUUCCAGCAUACACAGCACAGUCCUUUUACUUCCAAGACAUUUCUGUGGCAUCACUGGGACCCUUAGGGCAAGGAGGUGAGAGCUGCAGCAAAAAGCAAGGCUCCUGCCUAGAUGAAACACCUGAGGAGAUGUUUCAGAGUGUGAUUGCUCCCUGGUGCUAUCUCCUCUCUCCAGCCAUGGCCUCUAUUUCAGAUGCUUCUGUGUGGUUCACACAGAAGAAAGGUCACUUACCCACAUUCUCCUCCCUGAUCCCACAUCACCAUCAUAAUUUAUGCCUAGUUUUCAGAACAAUGGGUAUAAAAUGGCAAGGCCUGGUGAUGCCUGCUACCAACCUUCUCUUGUUGAGCAGCACAAUUAAUCUCACAUUUAACUCUUCCGUAAAGGGAUUCACUAACAAAAGCAACAACCUUAAACGAGGAAUAUUUAAAUGAACAAUUAUAAUUCCUUAAGUUCUUAUUGAAAAAAAAGAAAAUAAAGUGAUUACACUGUGUGGAACUGUGUGCACUGGAAUAUGUCUUCAAACACAAGUCUAAUUAUUGUAAAAACUAAAGCCUGAUCUUUGUCCUACCACACUUCAUGCACAUCAAAUGUUCACAUUGUUACCACUCACCAGUAUGUAAAUAACACAUAUGACUAAUUGCCAGUAGGUGGUAGUGUGUGUUUUUCAGAGAAGUUUGUAAGUUAGUAAUGCAAAUGUUUAAUGUUUGAGGUGAUUUAGAAAGAUCCUGUCAUCUUUAAUGUAUGAUCUCAAAACAUCAUUGCUUUGAAUUCAGUCCCUGAUGUCACUGAGUUAAUAGUUGUUUCACAAACAUCAGCCCAUCACUGAGAGGCGUAUUUUGAUUUUCCUUUUCAAGCUUAUGGACAAACCUAACUGGAACCAUUUUGAACAGUGCCAAUUAGUACGAGCCCUGAGAAUUCAAAUGCAUAUAUUCCUUGGAAUGAUUGGAUUGCUCUCUAGUGUUUCUUUGCAGAAGGUGAGCUUUUGAUAAAUAAAUGCAUUACUUUACUGAUUUAUAAACUUAGACUUGCUCUGUCAUAGAAGCUGUUUUGAGAAUUCCUGGAAGAGCUCACUGGAGAAGGAGCAACACAGUCACUGGACAUCCGUUUCUCUUCCGCACCUCGGCAUGCUUUAUAAAGAAAGGAAAGAAGUGAGCAUCUGGAGAAGACUAGGGUUUCUGGUGGAAGGCAUCACCUUGGCCCCUGUGCUAUUCCUUGCUGAAAGUAGCCUAUAGAGAGCUAAUGCCGUUUCCCCAACUCAUCACACAGGACGAGAUGCGUGUUCUUCCCCGCGUGAGAGCAGGUGCUAUGAGCGGUCCUAUGAGCCUCUCUCUGGUUGCCUGGCUGGACGUUCGUCCUUCUGCAGGUAAAGCGGAUGUGUUUGUGCCACCGGUGUCCACAAGCUACAAUGGCAAGAAGUGCAGUUAAAGGAAGGACAGGAGGAGUGAUGGGGCCUUCCCAGAAGCAGCACUAGCAGAGCCCAGACAAGCUGUGCAGAGGAGAUGUGUGUUUGGUUCAGGUUGAACAGAUUCCUGUUGAGCUAAGGGAGCUGCGUAGUCCUGCUGCACGUGGAAGGCUUGGCCAUACUGGUGAGCCAUAUUACCAAAACACAGCAUCCAUCUUCAGUGUGCCCACAAGUAUCAUAGGUGCUUUGAAGUCUUGAGAACGCUACGCUGCCCAUGGGCCCCAAACCCGCAGUCUCGUGUCGCUGAGCGUUCCACUGGCAGAGCUGCGCACAGAAGGAAGGCUGGACUCCGGAUACGAAAUGUGUGAGCAAAGGAAAGGCAAAAGAACUGAUUUUCAAUUUUGAAUCCUGAUUGAUGUGAUUAUUAAACUCCAUUUAAUUCAGA
Dromaius novaehollandiae (emu) is the source of this 2468-nucleotide long non-coding RNA. RefSeq lists it as uncharacterized. The transcript has 3 exons. The record is from RefSeq and is a predicted model, not a curated record. NCBI's taxonomy places the organism in Eukaryota, Metazoa, Chordata, Aves, Casuariiformes, Dromaiidae.